RNAcentral lists this transfer RNA (88 nucleotides) under Phycisphaerae bacterium. RNAcentral describes it as "tRNA-Ser". It matches the Rfam family "tRNA". From Rfam's summary of the family: Transfer RNA (tRNA) molecules are approximately 80 nucleotides in length. Their secondary structure includes four short double-helical elements and three loops (D, anti-codon, and T loops). The record is from RNAcentral. Lineage: Bacteria; Pseudomonadati; Planctomycetota; Phycisphaerae.
GGAGAGAUGCCUGAGCGGUUGAAAGGGCCGGUCUCGAAAACCGGUAGUGGGCUCGUCCUACUCGUGAGUUCGAAUCUCACUCUCUCCG